RNAcentral lists this ribosomal RNA (331 nucleotides) under uncultured Anoxybacillus sp. RNAcentral's name for it is "bacterial SSU rRNA". It matches the Rfam family "Bacterial small subunit ribosomal RNA", at positions 1049 to 1382 of the family's 1533-position model. Lineage: Bacteria; Bacillati; Bacillota; Bacilli; Caryophanales; Anoxybacillaceae. The record is from RNAcentral.
UUGUCGUCAGCUCGUGUCGUGAGAUGUUGGGUUAAGUCCCGCAACGAGCGCAACCCUCGACCUUAGUUGCCAGCAUUCAGUUGGGCACUCUAAGGUGACUGCCGGCUAAAAGUCGGAGGAAGGUGGGGAUGACGUCAAAUCAUCAUGCCCUUAUGACCUGGGCUACACACGUGCUACAAUGGGCGGUACAAAGGGUCGCGAACCCGCGAGGGGGAGCCAAUCCCAAAAAGCCGCUCUCAGUUCGGAUUGCAGGCUGCAACUCGCCUGCAUGAAGCCGGAAUCGCUAGUAAUCGCGGAUCAGCAUGCCGCGGUGAAUACGUUCCCGGGCCUU